Vulpes vulpes (red fox) is the source of this 1830-nucleotide long non-coding RNA. The record is from Ensembl. NCBI's taxonomy places the organism in Eukaryota, Metazoa, Chordata, Mammalia, Carnivora, Canidae.
AAAUGUUCUGGGAAGAAUUCUCUUGAUUAAAAAAAAGAAAGAAAGAAAAAGAAAUUCCUAUGGAGAAUUCCUGCCCUUCUUUCCUGUUUGAACAUUAAUUUAUAGGGGCCUGAUGCUUUGAACUGUAGAUUCUCCUGACCAUUAGGCAAAGGCAAGGAAAAUCACAAGAAGUAGAACCAAAGACUUGAUGAUAUUACUAAGCAACUGGAUCUACCAAUUCUAGAAUCAUUCAACUAUGGACGUAGUUUAGCUGAGAUAUUAAAAACGCUUAUUGUUUGAGCAACUUUGUUUUUGUUAUUUGCAGCUGACAGCAUUCCAACCUGAGGAUUGGUAGGUGAUUUGAAGAUAAUUCAGUAGAAUGAAUAUAGGUAAAUCUCUAAAAAAACUGAAUUGUGAUUAAGAAAGAAGAGAUACUAUUAUUUAGAUGGAGAUGUGGCAUCAUUAAAGAUUUUCUUUUUCUUAUUUAAUAGGAGAGACUGAAGAAUAUCUAAAUAUUAACAUUGCAGGGGCAAUUUCAAUUGAGAGAGAAAUUUAAGGCAAGAGAGUAUCAUGUAUGGAGUCGAUUGAAUAGGAAAAGCCUUUGGAGGAAGGAGACCUCGUUCUGGGAUAGCAAGGUGGCAGAGAUAGACGGACAGAAAGCUUAACUGGUAGGUGAACUUUUUCGCUUUUAUUUCGUUUCUAUCACAACUCUUUGUUUAUUGUUUUUAUGUUGUUUGGCAACCAGAACAGACUUUUACGUUUUUGGGUCCUCACAGAUUGAGAUUUUCAGGGAUUUCUCUCUUUCCAUCAUCAGAAGAGAACGCCCUCCACAAAAAAAGAAAGCAUCAUCAAUAUGCAUGUGCCAGAUGACACCAAGAAAUGAAAUCCAAAAUCCAUCACUGUAAUUAGCUCGAGUACACAACGACAGUAUCUUCUUCCCCCAAAGUUAUGAUUGAUAUUAAACUGUUACUGAACAUUGAAAAGUUAAUAUUGAUUCUCAAAUGAAACAAUAGAUUGAAGGUAUGACUUUUUAUUUAAAAACAUAUCUCUCCUAUAAGAUUCUAUAUAUAGAAUUCCAUGCCUUUAACAUUGUUUCCAGAUGUACUUCUGGCAAGCUUUUUUUGUUUUGUUUUGUUUAGCUAGACCUGUUUUUUAAACCAUGUGAAAGAUUAUAUAUUACCGAAUAGAACCAUUUUUGAGGCUUAAGGUUGAAAUAGGAGACACUAGUGAUUAUAUCUUUAAGUGAUUUCCCAUUCUAGAAUGGAACAAAGUGCAAGAAUAAUAAUGACCCCCCCAAAGCUUAAUUUCUUUACAAAGUAGCCAAAAAAAAAAUCAAAAAUCAAAUUAAUCUUUCCUUACUUUAUGUGUACUGAAAGCAAUGGGGAAUCAUUAAUGCAGUUGUACAUCUUUCAAAAAAGUGAUUAACCAGGUAUAGGAGAACUGGCAGUGUUAAAACAAACAAACAAACAAACAAAAAACCCACAACCCUUUAUUUGGUGUUUGGGCCAGAACUGUAAAUUAUUUUCAAAUUAUUUGCAGUGUACAUUUCAAUGCUCCAUUGAACUAAGAAGAAAUCUAUUUGUUCAGCUGGAAGAUGUUCCUUUUGGCACAAUAUCAAAUUUACAAAAGCAAUAAGAGAAAGUGAAAACAUUUUGAACAUUUUGAGUGUUAAGGAAGUAAUAUCAUAAAACAUAAUACAGAGCAUAUUUUAUAAGGAAUAUUUCUUUUCAGUAUUUUUAUGUUUCUGAGAAAUUUACUAUACAAAUUUGCUAAUUAGCUGAAUAUUUUAAAGGCAUUUGAUUUUGUUAUGAGACACUAAUACAUUGUAAAUAUCUUCUCUACCACUUCUAC